GGGUGGUAGCGGGAAAACCAAUCGCCACCUAAAAGCAUCAUUUCCUCAAAAUCUAUACUGCCACAUCAUCAGAAAUAAUUGGCCAAUCACAGUGCUAUAUUAUGCCAUGUCAUCUACUGGUUUUCUUUGCCCACCACAAAUUGAUAACAACAAUAAUUGGGCAACAAUCUAGGCGCUCCUUCCUCCGAUCUCCAAAGACCUGGCUAUGAAAAACUGAACAUCAACCGUUCCAUUAUAUCUUUUCAUCUCCCUUGCAAUUGAAUUCUCAUCUAAUACAUUUUCUUUGUUAUUAUAACAUAUAAUGACCGACUCUUACAAAUCCUUUCAGUUGAAGAGACCCAUCCUCAAACCUUUCAGUGAGUUAAAAUCAAAUGCCAAUUAAUUGAUGAAAUCGUCAAAUCUUCUCAGCAAGGUUCCCUCUCUGGUUUUCUUCACAAUUAGUUUCUGAUAAUCACAUAGAGGAAUAUAUCGUCACAAGAUUGGUAGCCACCAUCCUUAUGUUAGAAGCCUGUAAUCCAACUGAAGCUGGGAUGUUCAUCGGACGUGAGCGUCUAAUCAUUGGUGAACAAGUACUCCUUAGUAUUUUCCUCCCGUUUUAUGAUUUAAAAAGUUUGUGGUCUCUAAAGUCGAUUCACCCACAACAGACACCGCAAAGGACUUUGGUUUCUGGAUCUUUAUUUGAUUGUUAUGCUUUAUGUGCUUUGCUGAUUAUGCUAGUUUGUGGAGAACAAAUUGCAGAAUUUUGCUUCACAACACUCGGAUGUCCUUGAGAACUUGAGUCCGACAGUCAUGGACCAUGUAGAGAUUCUAAGAGAGAUCCAGGGGAGACAAUCUUCCAGUUAGAUGAAUAUGUACAUAGUCUUUUACUUAUUCCUUUUAAAUUUUGCAUUGCAGGACCACCAUGAUGAAAUGGAAUCAAGGAGAGGCAGCGGUAGAAGCUUAGUAUCAGAAGUUGUAUCAACCUUUGUAUACAAAGUCACCGGCUCGGCUGGGCAGUAAGUUUGACAAUCACUCAGUCGAGGACGUAUGAUCUCUUUCAUGUUAAUAAUUCAAGGGAUGUUGCUAACCUGAGGAGGACAAGGAUGAUGAUGAAAACAAUAGUAGUUUGUUGUUUUGGUCAUUCUUUGACUGUUAUUCAAAAAAAAAAAAAAAGGUCAUUCUUUGACUUUAUUUAUCAUCUAUCACUUUGGUAUGGGAAAUAACAUCUUUGGUAACAA
Brassica napus (rape) is the source of this 1217-nucleotide long non-coding RNA. RefSeq lists it as uncharacterized. The transcript is spliced from 2 exons. Lineage: Eukaryota; Viridiplantae; Streptophyta; Magnoliopsida; Brassicales; Brassicaceae. The record is from RefSeq and is a predicted model, not a curated record.